This 545-nucleotide ribosomal RNA is filed under the name uncultured bacterium. RNAcentral describes it as "partial 16S ribosomal RNA". It matches the Rfam family "Bacterial small subunit ribosomal RNA", at positions 355 to 887 of the family's 1533-position model. The record is from RNAcentral.
UGGGGAAUAUUGCACAAUGGGCGCAAGCCUGAUGCAGCCAUGCCGCGUGUGUGAAGAAGGCCUUCGGGUUGUAAAGCACUUUCAGCGAGGAGGAAGGUGGUGAGCUUAAUACGCUCAUCAAUUGACGUUACUCGCAGAAGAAGCACCGGCUAACUCCGUGCCAGCAGCCGCGGUAAUACGGAGGGUGCAAGCGUUAAUCGGAAUUACUGGGCGUAAAGCGCACGCAGGCGGUUUGUUAAGUCAGAUGUGAAAUCCCCGGGCUCAACCUGGGAACUGCAUUUGAAACUGGCAAGCUAGAGUCUCGUAGAGGGGGGUAGAAUUCCAGGUGUAGCGGUGAAAUGCGUAGAGAUCUGGAGGAAUACCGGUGGCGAAGGCGGCCCCCUGGACGAAGACUGACGCUCAGGUGCGAAAGGCGUGGGGCAGCAAACAGGAUUAGAUACCCUGGUAGUCCACGCUGUAAAACGAUGUCGAUUUUGGAGGUUGUGCCCCUUGAGGCGUGGCUUCCGGAGCUAACGCGUUAAAUCGACCGCCUGGGGAGUACGGCC